Molecule: ribosomal RNA, 814 nt
Filed under: uncultured bacterium
Lineage: Bacteria
Description: bacterial SSU rRNA
Rfam family: Bacterial small subunit ribosomal RNA
Source: RNAcentral
CAGUCGAGCGAUUCUCUUCGGAGAAGAGCGGCGGACGGGUGAGUAACGCUGUGGGUAACCUGCCCUGUACACACGGAUAACAUACCGAAAGGUAUGCUAAUACGGGAUAACAUAAGAAAUUCGCAUGUUUUUCUUAUCAAAGCUCCGGCGGUACAGGAUGGACCCGCGUCUGAUUAGCUAGUUGGUGAGGUAACGGCUCACCAAGGCGACGAUCAGUAGCCGACCUGAGAGGGUGAUCGGCCACAUUGGAACUGAGACACGGUCCAAACUCCUACGGGAGGCAGCAGUGGGGAAUAUUGCACAAUGGGCGAAAGCCUGAUGCAGCAACGCCGCGUGAGCGAUGAAGGCCUUCGGGUCGUAAAGCUCUGUCCUCAAGGAAGAUAAUGACGGUACUUGAGGAGGAAGCCCCGGCUAACUACGUGCCAGCAGCCGCGGUAAUACGUAGGGGGCUAGCGUUAUCCGGAUUUACUGGGCGUAAAGGGUGCGUAGGCGGUCUUUUAAGUCAGGAGUGAAAGGCUACGGCUCAACCGUAGUAAGCUCUUGAAACUGGAGGACUUGAGUGCAGGAGAGGAGAGUGGAAUUCCUAGUGUAGCGGUGAAAUGCGUAGAUAUUAGGAGGAACACCAGUAGCGAAGGCGGCUCUCUGGACUGUAACUGACGCUGAGGCAUGAAAGCGUGGGGAGCAAACAGGAUUAGAUACCCUGGUAGUCCACGCCGUAAACGAUGAGUACUAGCUGUCGGAGGUUACCCCCUUCGGUGGCGCAGCUAACGCAUUAAGUACUCCGCCUGGGGAGUACGCUCGCAAGAGUGAAACU